CCUGACGCAGCAACGCCGCGUGCGGGAUGACGGCCUUCGGGUUGUAAACCGCUUUCAGCAGGGACGAAGGGUCACCUUGACGGUACCUGCAGAAGAAGCACCGGCUAACUACGUGCCAGCAGCCGCGGUGAUACGUAGGGUGCGAGCGUUGUCCGGAAUUAUUGGGCGUAAAGAGCUUGUAGGCGGUCUGUUGCGUCGGAAGUGAAAACUCAGGGCUUAACCCUGAGCCUGCUUUCGAUACGGGCAGACUUGAGGGAUGUAGGGGAGAACGGAAUUCCUGGUGGAGCGGUGGAAUGCGCAGAUAUCAGGAGGAACACCAGUGGCGAAGGCGGUUCUCUGGACAUUUCCUGACGCUGAGAAGCGAAAGCGUGGGGAGCAAACAGGCUUAGAUACCCUGGUAGUCCACGCCGUAAACGGUGGGCACUAGGUGUGGGUUCCAUUCCACGGAAUCCGUGCCGAAGCUAACGCAUUAAGUGCCCCGCCUGGGGAGUACGGCCGCAAGGCUAAAACUCAAAGGAAUUGACGGGGGCCCGCACAAGCGGCGGAGCAUGCGGAUUAAUUCGAUGCAACGCGAAGAACCUUACCUGGGUUUGACAUAUGCCGGACACACCUAGAGAUAGGUGCCCCGCAAGGCCGG
Molecule: ribosomal RNA, 637 nt
Filed under: Propionicimonas sp. Se1Ps_1970
Lineage: Bacteria; Bacillati; Actinomycetota; Actinomycetes; Propionibacteriales; Nocardioidaceae
Also listed under: 1 other name
Description: bacterial SSU rRNA
Rfam family: Bacterial small subunit ribosomal RNA
Source: RNAcentral